Molecule: ribosomal RNA, 493 nt
Filed under: uncultured soil bacterium
Lineage: Bacteria
Description: bacterial SSU rRNA
Rfam family: Bacterial small subunit ribosomal RNA
Source: RNAcentral
AGAUUGAACGCUGGCGGCAGGCUUAACACAUGCAAGUCGAACGAUGACUCUCUAGCUUGCUAGAGAUGAUUAGUGGCGGACGGGUGAGUAACAUUUAGGAAUCUACCUAGUAGUGGGGGAUAGCUCGGGGAAACUCGAAUUAAUACCGCAUACGACCUACGGGUGAAAGGGGGCGCAAGCUCUUGCUAUUAGAUGAGCCUAAAUCAGAUUAGCUAGUUGGUGGGUAAAGCCCACCAAGGCGACGAUCUGUAACUGGUCUGAGAGGAUGAUCAGUCACACCGGAACUGAGACACGGUCCGGACUCCUACGGGAGGCAGCAGUGGGGAAUAUUGGACAAUGGGGGCAACCGUGAUCCAGCCAUGCCGCGUGUGUGAAGAGGCCUUUUGGUGUAAAGCACUUUAAGCAGGAGAGAGGCUAAUGGUUAAUACCCAUUAGAUUAGACGUUACCUGACUAGAAUAAGCACCGGACUAACUCUGUCGCCAGCACGCCGUA